GGCUAGAUAGCAAAGUGGUUAUGCAAAAGAUUGCAAAUCUUAAAUAGAUUGGUUCGAAUCCAAUUCUAGCUU
This 72-nucleotide transfer RNA is filed under the name Asparagopsis taxiformis. Its description in RNAcentral is "tRNA-Cys". It matches the Rfam family "tRNA". Rfam says of the family: Transfer RNA (tRNA) molecules are approximately 80 nucleotides in length. Their secondary structure includes four short double-helical elements and three loops (D, anti-codon, and T loops). Lineage: Eukaryota; Rhodophyta; Florideophyceae; Bonnemaisoniales; Bonnemaisoniaceae. The record is from RNAcentral.